Molecule: ribosomal RNA, 459 nt
Filed under: uncultured bacterium
Lineage: Bacteria
Description: partial 16S ribosomal RNA
Rfam family: Bacterial small subunit ribosomal RNA
Source: RNAcentral
CCUACGGGUGGCAGCAGUGAGGAAUAUUGGUCAAUGGUCGGGAGACUGAACCAGCCAAGCCGCGUGAGGGAUGAAGGUACAGAGUAUCGUAAACCUCUUUUGUCAGGGAACAAAGACUGGGACGCGUCCCCGGAUGAGUGGACCUGAAGAAAAAGCAUCGGCUAACUCCGGGCCAGCAGCCGCGGUAAUACGGAGGAUGCGGGGGUUAUCCGGAUUUAUUUGGUUUAAAGGGUGCGCAGGCGGAAGGGUAAGUCAGCGGUCAAAGCCUGGGGCUCAACCCCGGCCCGCCGUGGAAACUGGCAGUCUUGAGUUGGAGAGAAGUAUGCGGAAUGCGCGGUGUAGCGGUGAAAUGCAUAGAUAUCGCGCAGAACUCCGAUUGCGAAGGCAGCAUGCCGGCUCCAAACUGACGCUGAGGCACGAAAGCGUGGGUAUCGAACAGGAUUAGAUACCCCGGUAGUC